CGUACAUAUCACUAAUGAGAAUAUUUACUAAAACCACUCACACCUAAAUGGUGGUGAAAGUUCUCUAUCUAUAAUCAUUUAGAAAAUCAAAUAAAUUAUAAAA
Molecule: long non-coding RNA, 103 nt
Organism: Cucurbita maxima (winter squash)
Lineage: Eukaryota; Viridiplantae; Streptophyta; Magnoliopsida; Cucurbitales; Cucurbitaceae
Exons: 3
Source: RefSeq, a predicted model, not a curated record